GCCGGGUGCGGUGGCUCACACCUGUAAUCCCAGCACUUUGGGAGGCCGAGGUGGGUGGAUCACCUGAGGUCAGGAGUCCGAGACCAGCCUGGCCAAUAUGGUGAAACCCCGUCUCUA
This is a non-coding RNA of Pan troglodytes (chimpanzee), 117 nucleotides long. It matches the Rfam family "Metazoan signal recognition particle RNA". From Rfam's summary of the family: The signal recognition particle (SRP) is a universally conserved ribonucleoprotein. Lineage: Eukaryota; Metazoa; Chordata; Mammalia; Primates; Hominidae. The record is from Rfam.